This 463-nucleotide ribosomal RNA is filed under the name uncultured bacterium. RNAcentral describes it as "partial 16S ribosomal RNA". It matches the Rfam family "Bacterial small subunit ribosomal RNA", at positions 28 to 507 of the family's 1533-position model. The record is from RNAcentral.
GAUGAACGCUGACAGAAUGCUUAACGCAUGCAAGUCUUUGGCGAAGCUGUGCUUGCACAGCCUAGCCAAGGCGGACGGGUGAGUAACGCGUAAGGAACUUGCCCUGCAGUCAGGGAUAACAGACGGAAACGACUGAUAAGACCUGGUAAAGUCAGGCGGACUCAUGUCCAGCCUGAUGAAAAGUGAUGCUGCAGGAGAGCCUUGCGUCCUAUUAGCUUGUUGGUGGGGUAACGACCCACCAAGGCGAUGAUAGGUAGCCGGCCUGAGAGGGUGGACGGCCACAAGGGGACUGAGAUACGGCCCUUACUCCUACGGGAGGCAGCAGUGGGGAAUAUUGGACAAUGGGGGCAACCCUGAUCCAGCAAUUCUGUGUGCACGAUGAAGGUUUUCGGAUUGUAAAGUGCUUUCAGCAGGGAAGAAAAAAAUGACGGUACCUGCAGAAGAAGCGACGGCUAAAUACGUG